Molecule: long non-coding RNA, 480 nt
Filed under: Androctonus crassicauda
Lineage: Eukaryota; Metazoa; Arthropoda; Arachnida; Scorpiones; Buthidae
Source: RNAcentral
CUCAACUUAUGACAACAAUGUCGUUGAUAAAUUCUGUGAUUGGUCAACAUGAUUGAUAAAAAAAAAAAAAAAUUUCAGGUCCCUGAGCAAUAGUCUAAUAUAAAAAAAGAUUUCUUUUGUGUCUUAAUAAAUUUAACAUAAAAAUGAAAAACUAAGAUGAAAUGGAAUGUAAUAAUAUCAGGAAUAGGAAAUCAAAUUUUGGACAUUUCUGGCUUAUGACAGCAGGAUUUGAACUGAAUCCAAUUAAGUUAAGGAUUACCUGUGUUACUAAUAAUAUACUGUUAAACAUAUCAAGUACAAAUUAUCAUGUUUUUUUCUCCCUUUGGUUUUCUACACAAUUCAAUAAAAAUUUUAGUAUACAAACAUAUAUAAUUGUGUGCUCUAACUUCAAAUAUUUAAAGAAAUGGUCUUAAAUCAUUUCCAUUUUUACAUAUGUGCUUUAAUUCAUUCAAAUAAUAAUGAAUGCUUUUCAUAAUUUCA